This 245-nucleotide microRNA precursor is filed under the name Paramuricea clavata. The record is from RNAcentral. Lineage: Eukaryota; Metazoa; Cnidaria; Anthozoa; Malacalcyonacea; Plexauridae.
UCUGAUAGUCAUUAGCCCUAUUCACAUUAGAGACGGACAAGUCGUCUAGACGAACAAACCGUCUCUCAAAAAUCGUCUUCACAGACGGACAAGUAGUCGAACAAAUUCAGACGACUUGUUCGUCUAAAAUUUUGUACGACACGUUUUCACAUCUGAUGAUUUGUCCGACUAAAAGACGAUUUUGAGACAAUUUGUUCGUCUAGACGACUUGUCCAUCUUCUAAUAUGAAAACAGCUAUUAUAACA